UAUACUUUUUUAAGGGGCAAUUACUUAUAUACCCUUGAAAAGUUCCCGACUUUCCGAUUUACCCCUCUUAGAAGGAUAAUAUUGAAAAUACCAUUCCUACGUUCCAACCUAUUUCUAAUAUACCCCUAGAGUUAAAAUCUGUUAAUUAACUCUGUUAUCUAUGUAAAAUUACUAUUUUGCCCUUUCAAAUAUAUCCUUCCACGAUCACUGUCUUUCUUAUUUGCCCUUAAAGUCAGGGGUACAAAAAGUAUUUUGACUUUUGGUCUUUUCCAAUAUACCUCUCUACCGUCACCAACCUUUCUUAUUUGCCCUUAAGUUAAGGGCAAAAUUAACAUUUUAAUUUUUUUUAAUUGUGGUAGAUAUUUAACUCAUAUUUAACCCAGGUUAACUCAACAGGAGAUAACUGUAGGGGUAUUUUGCAAUAACGGUGGAACAUAUAAGUGGUAUUUUAGAAAGAAAAAAAAAAAAGAGUAAAUCGGAUAUUUUCAAACGUAUGAGGGGUAUAUAGACAAUUAUCCCCUUUUUUAAUUAACUUAAGGGCGCGUUUGAUUCGCACUAUAAAAAAUUAUUAGGAGUAAAAAGAUAUUCGAGAAUUUUAUUCCUAUCCAUCCUAUUACUAAGAAUGUAGUAUUUCAGUGUUUGGUUCGUACGGUCAUAUUAUUUAGUCAUGUUAUUUAAAAUUAUAAACAAUAUACAAUUAAUUAAUUAAUUUAAUUAAUUAAUUUUAAAUAAUACUAUAAAAAAUUUUAACAUCUUUUUAGAAAAAAGAGAGAGAGAAUAUAGGUUAGAAAGAGAGAGCAUAAUUAAAGAAAUAGAAAGAGAAAUAGAGUCGAUGUUAGAGAGAAUGAGAGGAUUGAGAUUUUAGAAAAAGAGGGGGAGAAAUAGCUUAAUUUAGAGAGAGAAAAAAAGUUGAAGUUUAGGAAAAAAAAGAUAAGUUUAAAGAGAGAGAUAUGAGGUUAGAGUGUAAAAAAAAUAAUACCAACUAGCCGGCGGUUGGGGAAAAAAAAGAGAUUAGACAUAUUACAAUUACUCCAAUACAUUAAUAUAAGGAUUAACACCCUUCCUCAAAGGAAUGAGAUUAGUACUUUGGAAUGCAUCUCAUUACACUGUCAUAUUUUUUUUUAUUUCUAUUGAAUUAUUAGAAAUCUUAAAAAGAUAGCGCGAACUAAACACACCCUAAAAAUUAAUUGAAGGUGUCAUGU
Molecule: long non-coding RNA, 1202 nt
Filed under: Ananas comosus (pineapple)
Lineage: Eukaryota; Viridiplantae; Streptophyta; Magnoliopsida; Poales; Bromeliaceae
Description: long non-coding RNA (ACOM_LNC001801)
Source: RNAcentral